This 502-nucleotide ribosomal RNA is filed under the name uncultured bacterium. Its description in RNAcentral is "partial 16S ribosomal RNA". It matches the Rfam family "Bacterial small subunit ribosomal RNA", at positions 30 to 523 of the family's 1533-position model. The record is from RNAcentral.
AUUGAACGCUGGCGGCGUGCCUAACACAUGCAAGUCGAGCGGUAACAGGUGUAGCAAUACAUGCUGACGAGCGGCGAACGGGUGAGUAAUGCUUCGGAAUCUACCUUAUGGUGGGGAAUAACUAGCCGAAAGGUUAGCUAAUACCGCAUACGUCCUACGGGAGAAAGCAGGGGAUCGCAAGACCUUGCGCCAAAAGAUGAGCCGAAGUCGGAUUAGCUAGUUGGUAGGGUAACGGCCUACCAAGGCGACGAUCCGUAGCUGGUCUGAGAGGACGACCAGCCACACUGGGACUGAGACACGGCCCAGACUCCUACGGGAGGCAGCAGUGGGGAAUAUUGGACGAUGGGGGAAACCCUGAUCCAGCGACGCCGCGUGUGUGAAGAAGGCCUGCGGGUUGUAAAGCACUUUUAGUGGGGAUGAAAUGUGCAGGGUUAAUACCUCUGCAUUUUGACCUAACCCACAGAAAAAGCACCGGCUAACUCUGUGCCAGCCGCCGCCGUAA